RNAcentral lists this ribosomal RNA (176 nucleotides) under Salmonella enterica. Its description in RNAcentral is "partial 23S ribosomal RNA". It matches the Rfam family "Bacterial large subunit ribosomal RNA", at positions 1 to 177 of the family's 2925-position model. The record is from RNAcentral. Lineage: Bacteria; Pseudomonadati; Pseudomonadota; Gammaproteobacteria; Enterobacterales; Enterobacteriaceae. RNAcentral also lists the same sequence under 1 other name.
GGUUAAGCGACUAAGCGUACACGGUGGAUGCCCUGGCAGUCAGAGGCGAUGAAGGACGUGCUAAUCUGCGAUAAGCGCCGGUAAGGUGAUAUGAACCGUUAUAACCGGCGAUUUCCGAAUGGGGAAACCCAGUGUGACUCGUCACACUAUCAUUAACUGAAUCCAUAGGUUAAUGA